UACGGGGGGGGCAAGCGUUGUUCGGAAUUACUGGGCGUAAAGGGCUCGUAGGCGGCCAACUAAGUCAGACGUGAAAUCCCUCGGCUUAACCGGGGAACUGCGUCUGAUACUGGAUGGCUCGAGUUUGGGAGAGGGAUGCGGAAUUCCAGGUGUAGCGGUGAAAUGCGUAGAUAUCCGGAAGAACACCGGUGGCGAAGGCGGCCUGCUGGGCAGUUGCUGACACUGAGGCGCGAAAGCGUGGGGAGCAAACAGG
Molecule: ribosomal RNA, 253 nt
Filed under: uncultured bacterium
Lineage: Bacteria
Description: partial 16S ribosomal RNA
Rfam family: Bacterial small subunit ribosomal RNA
Source: RNAcentral